This 468-nucleotide ribosomal RNA is filed under the name uncultured bacterium. Its description in RNAcentral is "partial 16S ribosomal RNA". It matches the Rfam family "Bacterial small subunit ribosomal RNA", at positions 28 to 507 of the family's 1533-position model. The record is from RNAcentral.
GACGAACGCUGGCGGCGUGCUUAACACAUGCAAGUCGAACGGAAAGGCCCUGCUUUGGUGGGGUGCUCGAGGGGCGAACGGGUGAGUAACACGUGAGUAACCUGCCCUUGACUUUGGGAUGACUUCAGGAAACUGGGUCUAAUACCGGAUAGGAGCUCCUGCUGCAUGGUGGGGGUGGGAAAGUUUCGGCGGUUGGUGAUGGACUCGCGGCUUAUCAGCUUGUUGGUGGGGUAGUGGAUUACCAAGGCUUUGACGGGUAGCCGGCCUGAGAGGGUGACCGGCCAAAUUGGGAUUGAGAUACGGCCCAGACUACUACGGGAGGCAGCAGUGGGGAAUAUUGCACAAUGGGCGGAAGCCUGAUGCAGCAACGCAGCGUGCGGGAUGACGGCCUUCGGGUUGUAAACCGCUUUCGCCUGUGCCGAAGCGUGAGUGACGGUAAUGGGUAAAGAAGCACCGGCUAACUACGUG